GACGUAGGGCGCGAGCGUUGUCCGGAUUUAUUGGGCGUAAAGAGCUCGUAGGCGGCUUGUUGCGUCAGCUGUGAAAACCCGCAGCUCAACUGUGGGCUUGCAGCUGAUACGGGCAGGCUUGAGUUCGGUAGGGGAGACUGGAAUUCCUGGUGUAGCGGUGAAAUGCGCAGAUAUCUGGAGGAACACCGGUGGCGAAGGCGGCAUCCUGGACCAACACUGACACUGAGGAGCGAAAGCCAGGGGAGCAAACGGG
This 253-nucleotide ribosomal RNA is filed under the name uncultured bacterium. RNAcentral describes it as "partial 16S ribosomal RNA". It matches the Rfam family "Bacterial small subunit ribosomal RNA", at positions 524 to 776 of the family's 1533-position model. The record is from RNAcentral.